CAUGAAAACUGAAGUGUUUCUCUGAUGCCAGUUCUGUGCUAACGUCUCAGCUACAAGCUCCAGCCAGAGAGUUUACAUUGAAGUAUAAUGAUGAUUAUGGUCAAAUGAGAGCUUCAUCACUGCAGAUCCCUGAGCUCUUGUCUGAUGAUUCCUCACGGCAGAAUGAUUGGAUUCUCUCUGUCUCUUCAUCGUCUGAUUUUCAGCUCCCAAAUCAAAUCUCCUCCUCGGGGGGAGAGACUGCUGUAAUGUAGGCCACUCUGCAGGGAUCUCGCUGGCCACUUGAAGAUUCAAAGAGAGAAACUUUGGGAUCAGGAGACUUUUGAACAAGAGCUUUCUCCAGAGGGGACACAGUCCUGAGGCCUGAGGCCUGGUCGACAGGCUGCACCCUGUGGGGGUCCACUUGUGUCCAGAUGAGUGGAUGAGCGAAUUCCGUGAGGACAGGAGCCUGCCAUUGCUGUUCCCACUCCGGCCUGCAGUGACCGAUGAUACUUGCCUCCAGGUCAUUGACCUUGUAUCUGGUUCUCUCACUGACAACUGGUUGCUGGGGAUGAUGUUAUUCUGUGCAUGUCUGAUUCCUCUUUCAGUUAUACUUUUGUUAUCCAGCUUUCUAUUAACGGUUGCUGAUUGCAGACAACACUUCCCACUGUUUUGCUCCUCCAGUCUCUUUGGUUUCGCUCCUCAGAUGGAAUCAUUAGGAAAGGAGAAAUUGCCCAUUAGGAAAGGAGUGUUACCGUGUUGCUGCUCCUCCUUCUCCUGUCAGUCCAUUCCUCAC
Molecule: long non-coding RNA, 772 nt
Organism: Hemiscyllium ocellatum (epaulette shark)
Lineage: Eukaryota; Metazoa; Chordata; Chondrichthyes; Orectolobiformes; Hemiscylliidae
Exons: 5
Source: RefSeq, a predicted model, not a curated record